GACAGAGGGUGCAAACGUUGCUCGGAAUUACUGGGCGUAAAGCGCGUGUAGGCGGCCAUGCAAGUCGGAUGUGAAAGCCCUCGGCUCAACCGGGGAAGUGCACUCGAAACUGCAAGGCUAGAGUCUCGGAGAGGAUCGUGGAAUUCUCGGUGUAGAGGUGAAAUUCGUAGAUAUCGAGAGGAACACCGGUGGCGAAGGCGGCGAUCUGGACGAUGACUGACGCUGAGACGCGAAAGCGUGGGGAGCAAACAGG
This 253-nucleotide ribosomal RNA is filed under the name uncultured bacterium. RNAcentral's name for it is "partial 16S ribosomal RNA". It matches the Rfam family "Bacterial small subunit ribosomal RNA", at positions 524 to 776 of the family's 1533-position model. The record is from RNAcentral.